Molecule: ribosomal RNA, 425 nt
Filed under: uncultured bacterium
Lineage: Bacteria
Description: bacterial SSU rRNA
Rfam family: Bacterial small subunit ribosomal RNA
Source: RNAcentral
GGGGAAUUGUUCGCAAUGGGCGCAAGCCUGACGACGCAACGCCGCGUGGAGGACGAAGAUCUUCGGGUCGUAAACUCCUGUCGAGCGGGACGAACACCCAUCCAGUGAACAACUGGGAGGGCUGACGGUACCGCUAAAGGAAGCCCCGGCUAACUCUGUGCCAGCAGCCGCGGUAAUACAGAGGUGGCAAGCGUUGUUCGGAAUUACUGGGCGUAAAGGGCGCGUAGGCGGCCUUCUAAGUCGGACGUGAAAGCCCCAGGCUUAACCUGGGAACUGCGUCCGAUACUGGGAGGCUUGGAUUCGGGAGAGGGAUGUGGAAUUCCAGGUGUAGCGGUGAAAUGCGUAGAUAUCUGGAGGAACACCGGUGGCGAAGGCGGCAUCCUGGACCGAGAUCGACGCUGAGGCGCGAAAGCUAGGGGAGCAAA